UACGUAGGGUGCAAGCGUUAAUCGGAAUUACUGGGCGUAAAGCGUGCGCAGGCGGUUUCGUAAGUCUGUCGUGAAAUCCCCGGGCUCAACCUGGGAACUGCAUUUGUGACUGCAAGGCUGGAGUGCGGCAGAGGGGGAUGGAAUUCCGCGUGUAGCAGUGAAAUGCGUAGAUAUGCGGAGGAACACCGAUGGCGAAGGCAAUCCCCUGGGCCUGCACUGACGCUCAUGCACGAAAGCGUGGGGAGCAAACAGG
RNAcentral lists this ribosomal RNA (253 nucleotides) under uncultured bacterium. Its description in RNAcentral is "partial 16S ribosomal RNA". It matches the Rfam family "Bacterial small subunit ribosomal RNA", at positions 524 to 776 of the family's 1533-position model. The record is from RNAcentral.